This 453-nucleotide ribosomal RNA is filed under the name uncultured bacterium. Its description in RNAcentral is "SSU rRNA". It matches the Rfam family "Bacterial small subunit ribosomal RNA", at positions 26 to 518 of the family's 1533-position model. The record is from RNAcentral.
AGGAUGAACGCUGGCGGUCUGCUUAACACAUGCAAGUCGAACGGAGUAGAAAUACUUAGUGGCGGACGGGUGAGUAACGCGUGAGAAUCUACCUUCAGGACGGAGACAACAGUUGGAAACGACUGCUAACCCCCGAUGUACUGAAAAGGCAAAUAUUUAUAGCCUGAAGAAGAGCUCGCGUCCGAUUAGCUAGUUGGAGAGGUAAAAAGCUCACCAAGGCGACGAUCGGUAGCUGGUCUGAGAGGACGAUCAGCCACACUGGGACUGAGACACGGCCCAGACUCCUACGGGAGGCAGCAGUGGGGAAUUUUCCGCAAUGGGCGAAAGCCUGACGGAGCAAAGACCGCGUGGGGGAAGAAGGCUCUUGGGGUUGUAAAACCCCGUUUUCUCCUGGGAAGAACGCAAUGACGGUACCAGAGGAAUCAGCAUCGCUAACUCCGUGCCAGCAGCCGC